Armigeres subalbatus is the source of this 1020-nucleotide long non-coding RNA. RefSeq lists it as uncharacterized. The record is from RefSeq and is a predicted model, not a curated record. Lineage: Eukaryota; Metazoa; Arthropoda; Insecta; Diptera; Culicidae. The transcript has 4 exons.
CGUUUAACACCAGCUAAUCAAGUUGAGUGUCGUGAUCAGUCGGAUCAGUGAAUUUGAUCGGUCCCGGAGUUAUUUACGGUCUUUACGCGCUUUUGUAUAUAAUAACAGCCACCAAGAAGCAGUAAAUAUUUAUUAGAGGCAUCAAAAAUCUGAACUGGGAAAACUACGGAAAGAUUUGUGCCACCGGAUGCAAAGCUUAGCGAUUUCUUCUUAAAAUUGAUUGAGAUCACACUUGACGACGCAGUAGGUACCAAUUCCGCUAACGGCUGCGCAUUAGAGUCUUCGUACCACAAAGGAUAGUCUCGCCACAUUAAACCUUCCUCAUACCUACGCGGAUAUACCGCCACCGAACUUCGAACAUACACUCCGCAUACAGUACAUAUUUGAGGCGGCCAGUCACAAUUUGGCCAAUAUCGUAGCGAAAAUAUUUCAGGCGGCCGUGCAGAACAGAUUGGUCUACAUUCGGCUCGGUGUUAUCCAGUAGGAGAUGAUAACGUUCUUCUACGACCUCCUGACCAGUUUGCCCCAAUCAAUUUACGAAACUACCCAAACAAUGGCAUUCCACAGCAUAGUUAAAGAGGAAGAGUUCAAAUAUUGGGAGACAGCACGAAUACCAACUUAUGCCUGGUAUGACCAUUACCACCCGUACCGCAAUCAUCCGGUUUCAUCGACUACGCGGGAAUACACCACUUCGAAAGCGCUAGCGGAUUCAUAAAAUUUUCUAAUCCGUAAAGAUCUGCUUGUGAACCUUGGAAAGGUAAAGUUGUUGAGUGUUCCGUACACUAAAAUGAUCCUGAAAACGCACCUCAACGUAUCCCGCCUUCCACCCUCGGUAAUGGUGGAGACCGUGACUAGAUCAUCCGUUCACUGUACUUUUAGACGAAUGUCGAAAUAUUGUUCUUAACUGCUAUUCAUGAAUUCUUCAAUAAUUUUGAGAAAAUGUAUAAACAAACUUAGAAGAUAGUAGAGAAGCUAUAUAAGGCAAUAAACGAGAAUAAAUGAAAAAUAAUAGAACAAGUU